GCAUAUCAAUAGCGGAGGAAAAGAAACCCAACAGGGAUUGCCCUAGUAACGGCGAGUGAAGCGGCAACAGCUCAAAUUUGAAAUCUGGCUUCGGCCCGAGUUGUAAUUUGCAGAGGAUGCUUCUGGCGCGGUGCCUUCCGAGUUCCCUGGAACGGGACGCCACAGAGGGUGAGAGCCCCGUAUGGUUGGACACCAAGCCUGUGUGAAGCUCCUUCGACGAGUCGAGUAGUUUGGGAAUGCUGCUCAAAAUGGGAGGUAAAUCUCUUCUAAAGCUAAAUACCGGCCAGAGACCGAUAGCGCACAAGUAGAGUGAUCGAAAGAUGAAAAGCACCUUGAAAAGGGGGUUAAACAGUACGUGAAAUUGUUGAAAGGGAAGCGCUCAUGACCAGACUUGUGCCGGGCGGCUCAUCAGGGGUUCUCCCCUGUGUAUUCCGCCCGGCUCAGGCCAGCAUCGGUUGUUGUUGGGGGAUAAGAACGGCGGGAACGUGGCUCCCCUCGGGGAGUGUUAUAGCCUACCGUACGAUACCCUGACGGCGACCGAGGUUCGCGCUCCGCAAGGAUGCUGGCGUAAUGGUCAUCAGCGACCCGUCUUGAAACACGGACCAAGGAGUCGUCCAUUAGAGCGAGCGUUUGGGUGUAAAACCCGCACGCGUAAUGAAAGUGAAAUUAGGUGAGAGCUUCGGCGCAUCAUCGACCGAUCCUGAUGUUCUCGGAUGGAUUUGAGUAAGAGUUUUAACGGACGGACCCGAAAGACAGUGAACUAUGCUUGUAUAGGGUGAAGCCAGAGGAAACUCUGGUGGAGGCUCGCAGCGGUUCUGACGUGCAAAUCGAUCGUCAAAUAUGAGCAUGGGGGCGAAAGACUAAUCGAACUGUCUAGUAGCUGGUUACCGCCGAAGUU
This 898-nucleotide ribosomal RNA is filed under the name Melanconium fuligineum. RNAcentral's name for it is "LSU rRNA". It matches the Rfam family "Eukaryotic large subunit ribosomal RNA", at positions 38 to 968 of the family's 3401-position model. The record is from RNAcentral. Lineage: Eukaryota; Fungi; Ascomycota; Sordariomycetes; Diaporthales; Melanconidaceae.